Molecule: non-coding RNA, 73 nt
Organism: Podarcis lilfordi (Lilford's wall lizard)
Lineage: Eukaryota; Metazoa; Chordata; Lepidosauria; Squamata; Lacertidae
Source: the annotation of a GenBank genome assembly
GUUGGGAUAGCUCAGUCUGGAGAGCAUGCGACUCUGAAUCCCAGGGUCGUGGGUUCGAGCCUCACACUGGGCA